AACGAACGCUGGCGGCAGGCUUAACACAUGCAGGUCGAACGGGUGUAGCAAUACAUCAGUGGCAGACGGGUGAGUAACACGUGGGAACCUUCCUAGGGGUACGGAACAACUCAGGGAAACUUGAGCUAAUACCGUAUACGUCCGUGAGGAGAAAGAUUUAUCGCCCUUAGACGGGCCCGCGUCGGAUUAGCUAGUUGGUGGGGUAACGGCCUACCAAGGCGACGAUCCGUAGCUGAUCUUGGAGGAUGAUCAGCCACACUGGGACUGAGACACGGCCCAGACUCCUACGGGAGGCAGCAGUGGGGAAUCUUGGACAAUGGGCGCAAGCCUGAUCCAGCCAUGCCGCGUGAGUGAAGAAGGUCUUCGGAUUGUAAAGCUCUUUUGCCAGGGACGAUAAUGACGGUACCUGGAGAAUAAGCCCCGGCAAACUUCGUGCCAGCAGCCGCCGUAA
This 451-nucleotide ribosomal RNA is filed under the name uncultured bacterium. Its description in RNAcentral is "partial 16S ribosomal RNA". It matches the Rfam family "Bacterial small subunit ribosomal RNA", at positions 29 to 523 of the family's 1533-position model. The record is from RNAcentral.